GUGGGAAAUUGCACAAUGGGCGCAAGCCUGAUGCAGCCAUGCCGCGUGUGUGAAGAAGGCCUUAGGGUUGUAAAGCACUUUCAGUAAGGAGGAAAGGUUAGUAGUUAAUACCUGCUAGCUGUGACGUUACUUACAGAAGAAGCACCGGCUAACUCCGUGCCAGCAGCCGCGGUAAUA
This 177-nucleotide ribosomal RNA is filed under the name uncultured Pseudoalteromonas sp. Its description in RNAcentral is "partial 16S ribosomal RNA". It matches the Rfam family "Bacterial small subunit ribosomal RNA", at positions 356 to 525 of the family's 1533-position model. The record is from RNAcentral. Lineage: Bacteria; Pseudomonadati; Pseudomonadota; Gammaproteobacteria; Alteromonadales; Pseudoalteromonadaceae.